UGGAAGGAAAGUGUGCAACAAUUGCUAUUUUUUUUCAGUUUAACGAGGGGGGAACUUUCUGCACCUGAUACUAAAACUUAGCAUAAAGCUAUGGUGAUCAGGACAGCAUGGCUUUGCCACAGAGAUAGAUCAGUAAAAAAUAACAGAAGUCCAGAAAAUGUUCCAAGUGUGUAUGAGAAGUUAAUAUUUGAAAAUGGCAUUUAAAUUGGGAGAGUCAAGGAUGGCUUAUAAUUAGUAGAGUUAUCUGGUUGGAAAGAGUAAUUAUAACUGUAUGAAAAAACAAAUUCCAGAUGGGUUAAAGAGCUAGGUAUAAAAUAGCCCUGCACUCACGAUGGACGAAAGCCUAGGAGGAUGUCUUUAACCUCAGUGUGCUGGUGCAGGACAGAGGGGAGGCUGCUCACAUCUGGAAAACCAUCCAGAAAGACUGAUAGAACCGAGUCCUGUACAUCAGGAAAAUAUGGAUCUAAAGCACGAGGUGGCUUUCACUUGUCACAUGGGUAAAGAAUUGACUGAAUACAUCCAGAGUUGGUGAGGGCUCCCUCACCAACUCAUCUACUGCCAAUGUGUAUGCUGCCACUGUAUUUCUGGAAAGUAGACGGCCUCUAUUAAUACAUGCACGCUGUAUUCACAUGCAUGUAUGUGCAAAGAACAGUCUAGAAGGAUAUAUUCUAAACUGCUGACAGUGGGCUGCCCUUGAGGAGGGAUCGGGAGGAAGCGGAGGGUCUGUGCAAUAUGUUACUGAACUUUAAAACAGAGCUGUGUUCGUGUGUUGUGUAAUGAAAACACAACUGAAAAACGUGCAUGCCCUUUGAGCUGGCAAUUCCAGCUUUAGGAUUUACAGUGGUGAACAAAGUCUGUUUUCCUGAAGCUUCCAGUCCAGUGCGGCGGGAUCUAUCAGACAGCGUAGUUACCAGCUGUGCCAGAGCACCACGAAGGAGAGGGAGCUAGGCAAGUUCGAAAGUGGAGUGGAACGGAGGAGAACCUGAUUUGGGUGCAUCCCAACUUCAGAGAUGUUGGAGUGUGUGUGUCUUAGAGUCUUAGACUUCAAAGUAUUUGACCUGAAAGUGGUAAAGACAGGCUUUCCUGAGGACGUUGUGCAUCUGUUAAAAAGUGCAAUGAGGGGCGCCUGGGUGGCGCAGUCGGUUAAGCGUCCGACUUCAGCCAGGUCACGAUCUCGCGGUCCGGGAGUUCGAGCCCCGCGUCAGGCUCUGGGCUGAUGGCUCAGAGCCUGGAGCCUGUUUCCGAUUCUGUGUCUCCCUCUCUCUCUGCCCCUCCCCCGUUCAUGCUCUGUCUCUCUCUGUCCCAAAAAAAUAAAUAAACGUUGAAAAAAAAAAUUAAAAAAAAAAAA
Long non-coding RNA from Acinonyx jubatus (cheetah), 1348 nucleotides. RefSeq lists it as uncharacterized. The transcript has 2 exons. The record is from RefSeq and is a predicted model, not a curated record. NCBI's taxonomy places the organism in Eukaryota, Metazoa, Chordata, Mammalia, Carnivora, Felidae.